CUCGGCCCCGCCCCCACACCACAGCCGGAGCUCGCUCCUGCGCGUGCGCUCUCCCGGACCCGAGUGAAUAGUCCUCGCGCGGGGGGGGGGGGGACAGGGCGGUGAGUGCUUUCCCCUCGCCUCCAGCCUCCAGGAGGUUCCCGGCGCCUCAGGCAGCUGCAGCUUCGAAGCGGCUGCCACCGCACCUGGGCAGUCUGGACCCUCGUGCCCUGCUCCCGAGGCCUUGCGCGGUGGGCGCCCCGGGACACCCUGCGGGCCGGGUGGAGGAGGAGAAAGAAGAAUAAGAGGAAGACGUGGACCAGGAUCCCCAACCUCCCCACAACACCUGGCCUCUCCGCUUCCACUUCUUUCACACAAGGAGAGAGGAGCCAGCGAAAGCCAUGGGGGGCUGCGAAGUCCGAGAAUUUCUUUGGCAAUUUGGAUUCUUUUUGCCUCUGAGGACAGCUUGGCCGGGCUACUGUAGUCACGUCUCCAACAACCAAGGUAACAUGGAUCUACCUAGUGGGACGGCAGCUCCACAGCAGAUUCACAGAGCAAAAGGAAACCAGGUCAGUAAGUAUAUGCUUAUAUCAUGUCAUCAACAAGUGCUAAACCCAGACUCUUACUGGCUGUGUUUUGGAACUUGAAAGUUAUCCCAGCCCAACUCUAUCAUGGUUGUAAAAG
Molecule: long non-coding RNA, 663 nt
Organism: Cavia porcellus (domestic guinea pig)
Lineage: Eukaryota; Metazoa; Chordata; Mammalia; Rodentia; Caviidae
Source: Ensembl